RNAcentral lists this ribosomal RNA (447 nucleotides) under uncultured bacterium. Its description in RNAcentral is "partial 16S ribosomal RNA". It matches the Rfam family "Bacterial small subunit ribosomal RNA", at positions 29 to 523 of the family's 1533-position model. The record is from RNAcentral.
AACGAACGCUGGCGGCAGGCCUAACACGUGCAAGUCGAACGCCCCGCAAGGGGAGUGGCAGACGGGUGAGUAACGAGGGGGAACCUUCCCAAAGGUGCGGAAUAGCUCAGGGAAACUUGGGGUAAUACCGCAUAAUCCCGAGAGGCCAAGGAUUUAUCGCCUUUGGAUGGGCCGGCUUCGGAUUAGCUAGUUGAUGAGGUAACGGCUCACCAAGGCGAGGAUCCGUAGCUGGUUGGAGAGAAUGUCCAGCCACACGGGGACUGUGACACGGCCCAGACUCCUACGGGAGGCAGCAGUGGGGAAUCUUGGACAAUGGGCGCAAGCCUGAUCCAGCCAUGCCGCGUGAGUGACGAAGGCCUUAGGGUUGUAAAGCUCUUUUGCCGGGGACGAUAAUGACGGUACCCGGAGAAUAAGUCCCGGCUAACUUCGUGCCAGCAGCCGCGGUAA